This 109-nucleotide ribosomal RNA is filed under the name Xenopus laevis (African clawed frog). The record is from RNAcentral. Lineage: Eukaryota; Metazoa; Chordata; Amphibia; Anura; Pipidae.
GCCUACAGCCACACCACUCUGAAAGCGCCUGAUCUCGGAAGCGUUUCAGGGCCGGGCCUGGUUCGUACCUGGAUGGGAGACCGCCUGGGAAUAUCAGGUGUCGUAAGCU